Molecule: ribosomal RNA, 233 nt
Filed under: uncultured bacterium
Lineage: Bacteria
Description: partial 16S ribosomal RNA
Rfam family: Bacterial small subunit ribosomal RNA
Source: RNAcentral
CGGGUGAGUAACGCGUGAGGAACCUGCCUCAAAGAGGGGGACAACAGUUGGAAACGACUGCUAAUACCGCAUAAGCCCACGGCUCGGCAUCGAGCAGAGGGAAAAGGAGCAAUCCGCUUUGAGAUGGCCUCGCGUCCGAUUAGCUAGUUAGUGAGGUAACGGCCCACCAAGGCGACGAUCGGUAGCCGGACUGAGAGGUUGAACGGCCACAUUGGGACUGAGACACGGCCCAG